UGUGACAGUGACCCAGCCCACGCCGCGGCCCUUUGCGGAAAGGAGAAAGAAAAGCAUCUGGGCGCAGAGCCAGGCCCUCACGCAUCCAUCGGGGCGGAGCUUCCGGCGCCAGGGGUGGGCUGACCCCCACCUGGUCCCCGGGGGGCGGAGCCCUGUACCUGCCUGCGGGGUGGCGCACGUGGCCAGCCCUGCUUCCUGGGCCUCUGUUCACAGGGACCAUAAUUACAAGAUCAACGGAGGCGAGAUAUCCUGAGGUGGGAAGGCCCUUCCUCUCCGGGUUGCGCGCCCGUGAAUCUUCGGGCAACAGAGCUAGGGGAGGCAGGCCUGUGUGUGGUGACAGCUUCCCCCCAGGGAUGGCAGCCGGCCUUUCACGCUUCAGGAGCCUUCAGAAGCUUCUGGGAGGAGCCCCGGGUUCAGUUUAGACAAUUACCGCUUCUCCUUUACGCAUCGAAUGGGCUCGGGCCACUCGGAUCGCAGAGGCCAGAACGUGACCCAGGUCCGGUCAGCAAUGGUCACCAGGACUGGGCCAGGGGUGGGCACCUGAGCCAGUUGGAGCCAGGAAGAGCCAGCUCUGGAACUUUGUUGGACGCCUCUGGAAAGGGAAGCUCCCUUUGUGCCGGGCUUGCUGGGGGCACCUCCCUGCCCACCCACGUGGCUCCAGACGUGUCUACAUGCCUACCAUGACCCUGACCACAUCAAAGGAGUAACCAAGGUGACCCUGGGAUAAUAGACACCGGCUUCAUGCUAUGAAGUCCAUCUGUGUGGAAAGCCCCAGAAUCUCAGAGCAUCCAGCAAGCUCCUGGGAGAGAGGGAAGAGAAGGGGAGGAGAGAGAAGGGGAUUUCCGGAUUCUUCCUGAACAUUCGUGACCACCCUGGGCAGCAGCCUGACAGAUAAGAUGGGAUCUACACGGAGAAGGAGCCGGGAGCUGGGCCUGGGCUGCCAACAUGUUGUCUGGGUGCAGCCAGGUGGCUCAGCCCGGCCCCGUCUCCAGGACUCCUGCCUGGUCUUCCCUUUGGAGCCCUGGUGACUCUGGACUCUGGCCACAGUGACGCAGGGAGCAGCCUUUGGUGGUUUUCUCGGACUCUGGACAAGUCCCCAAAGCUGUCAUCCUUCCACUGAGAUAAAGGCCCCUCCUGGCUGGCGCCCGGCUGAGGACAGGCCGUAGCUCUGGAGGACAGCCCGAGGGAGGGGUGUGAGGGAGCCUGGCUGCCCACUGCCCCUCUGUGUCCCACCUGGACCCCGCCUGUUGGGGCGCCUGUUGCCAUCUGGGCCUGGAGGCUGCUUCUCGACCCCAUGCCGACUCGAUUCCUCUCUGUGGCCCUGCCGGUGGCCAGCCGGAGCCCCGCCUGGGCCAGGGCCCCACUGACUGCACCCUUGCCACAGCUGGCCGCUACAGGAUGGUGCAGGGACACAGGGAUGGGCGUCGGGGUGGAGCUGCAGGGAGGACAGACAGCUUUGUGGGCUCCGUCAGCUGGAGUCCGUCUUGCGUCCUUUGCCUUGAGUGGUUCUCAUUUUUGCGGGUGCUCUUUG
Acinonyx jubatus (cheetah) is the source of this 1531-nucleotide long non-coding RNA. RefSeq lists it as uncharacterized. Lineage: Eukaryota; Metazoa; Chordata; Mammalia; Carnivora; Felidae. The record is from RefSeq and is a predicted model, not a curated record. The transcript has 5 exons.